GCGCCCGUAGCUCAAUUGGAUAGAGUGUCUGGUUACGGCCCAGAAGGUUAGGAGUUCGACUCUUCUCGGGCGCGCCA
RNAcentral lists this transfer RNA (77 nucleotides) under Mycoplasma marinum. RNAcentral describes it as "tRNA-Arg(acg)". It matches the Rfam family "tRNA". From Rfam's summary of the family: Transfer RNA (tRNA) molecules are approximately 80 nucleotides in length. Their secondary structure includes four short double-helical elements and three loops (D, anti-codon, and T loops). Lineage: Bacteria; Bacillati; Mycoplasmatota; Mollicutes; Mycoplasmatales; Mycoplasmataceae. The record is from RNAcentral.